UACGGGGGGGGCAAGCGUUGUUCGGAAUUACUGGGCGUAAAGGGCGCGUAGGCGGCCAUCUAAGUCAGACGUGAAAUCCCUCGGCUCAACCGAGGAACUGCGUCUGAUACUGGAAGGCUUGAAUCCGGGAGAGGGAUGUGGAAUUCCAGGUGUAGCGGUGAAAUGCGCAGAUAUCAGGAGGAACACCGGUGGCGAAGGCGGUUCUCUGGGCCUUACCUGACGCUGGAGGAGCGAAAGCGUGGGGAGCAAACAGG
This 254-nucleotide ribosomal RNA is filed under the name uncultured bacterium. Its description in RNAcentral is "partial 16S ribosomal RNA". It matches the Rfam family "Bacterial small subunit ribosomal RNA", at positions 524 to 776 of the family's 1533-position model. The record is from RNAcentral.